GGCUCUGGGCCGAAACCCGUA
RNAcentral lists this non-coding RNA (21 nucleotides) under Arabidopsis thaliana (thale cress). The record is from RNAcentral. Lineage: Eukaryota; Viridiplantae; Streptophyta; Magnoliopsida; Brassicales; Brassicaceae.